CAGAAUUUAGUUUAUAGAAAAUAUUUCAUUUACAUUGAAUUGAUUAUUGUGCAAAACAUAGUUUCUGA
This 68-nucleotide transfer RNA is filed under the name Orthomeria smaragdinum. RNAcentral's name for it is "tRNA-Val". Lineage: Eukaryota; Metazoa; Arthropoda; Insecta; Phasmatodea; Aschiphasmatidae. The record is from RNAcentral.